Molecule: RNA transcript, 1253 nt
Organism: Pyrgilauda ruficollis (rufous-necked snowfinch)
Lineage: Eukaryota; Metazoa; Chordata; Aves; Passeriformes; Passeridae
Gene: SNRNP48
Gene name: small nuclear ribonucleoprotein U11/U12 subunit 48
Exons: 9
Source: RefSeq, a predicted model, not a curated record
CUGCCGCCCGCUCUGAGGCGGGGCCGCCCCUCCGCGGUCACGGGGCCGUGCGCGCGGCGAUGGCGGCGCGCGGCGCAGCGAUGGCGGCGGCCAGCGCCGUGUGGCUCGGCGGGGACCCGGUAGAGUGGGUGCUGUGCCCCUACGACGUCCAUCACCGUGUCCCCCGCGCGUCGCUGGAGAGGCACGCGGCGUCCUGCCGGCUGCGCAGGAUGGGAUACUCCGCCGAGGAGGAGGCCGAGAUGUACGACUCCAGCUUUUUCUACGAAAACCUGAAGGUUCCCACCAUCGCCAUGGAUAAAGAUCUACAGUUUCACAUUGUUAAGCAGGCUAGAGCCCAAACUGCAAAGGAAGGUGCAGGCUACAGUGAAGGAUCUUACUCAUUACUGCCCAUAGAAGUUCCUCAAAACCACAAGCGUUUCACGUGUGACCUGACCCAGGCUGACCGCCUUGCUCUUUACGAUUACGUUGUUGAGGAGACAAAGAAACAGAAGUCCAGAUCCCAGAUAACGGAAAAUGACAGUGAUCUCUUCGUGGAUUUAGCAGCGAAAAUCACCCAAGAUGAUAGUCAGAAAGGUCCGAAGUCCCAUCUUGAAAUUCUGGCUGAAAUGCGAGAUUACAAAAGGCGGCGGCAGUCAUACAGAGCUAAGAAUGUUCAUAUAACAAAGAAGUCCUACACUGAGGUGAUUCGGGAUGUGAUUGGUGUGCAUAUGGAAGAACUCAGCAAUCAGUGGCAGGAGGAAAACAGGUUGGAUAAUGCAGAGAUAUGUGAAGGAGGGAAGUCAAAGUCUUCAGGAAGUUUAUUUUCAGAAGGGAAGACAGGCGGUCAGCUUCGGUGGACUCACGGCAGUCUGGAGGAAGCAGUAAGGAUACGGAGUGCAUGAGACACAGGAGAGACACCAGCAGGAGUCCAAGUAAACGAAGGAGGAGUCGGGAGAGAGGCAAAGACAGAGACUCUCGGAGAAAAAGAGAGAGGGAUGAAGACAAGUAUUACAAUCACAAAAGAAGAAAGUAGGAACAAGAACCUGAUGGUUUUGUUUGUCAGCUGUUCAGAACAUAACUUCCACAAGAACUGCUGUUACUGCUGUUUUGGCCAAGACAGUAAAGGUGUGCACAUAAUAUUGGUGUUGCAUCACACCUGUGCUGCUUGGAGACAAAAAUGUGCUACAGUUUGUUAGGAUGGAAGCAGUAUAUUUCAGAUAAUGUGUAAAUCUGGAACAUUUAUACAUCUGUUAAUAAAUUAUAUUGAUCUCUCA